Molecule: long non-coding RNA, 1677 nt
Filed under: Lactuca sativa (garden lettuce)
Lineage: Eukaryota; Viridiplantae; Streptophyta; Magnoliopsida; Asterales; Asteraceae
Description: long non-coding RNA (LSAT_LNC008221)
Source: RNAcentral
GAGGAUCCACCACCACCUCCCCCACCGCCACCGCCAGUUGCCGCCAGUUUAUCGGCGGGAGAUUUGGCGGCAGGUUCACCGGAAUUAUUAUUAUUAUUAUUAACUUUCGGUUGUUGUGGAGAUUUUAAAGGGGAAGGUUGAGAGGUGGAAGUAGAACGUCUGUUUCCUAAAUGAGAAACAUCAGACAUCAUUGAUUUACUUGGCCAUGAGCCACCUCGACUUGUACUAGAUUUUGUUUCAAUCAUUGUCAUUUCAGCUUCCACACGUCUCUUCCAUGUGCUGACUAGACUUCUUGCUUUCUUCUGAAUCUCUGAAUUUUUAUGGCUUCUUAAAUGAUUCACAGAUUUCCCAACAUUACAAGUCUGUAAAGCAUGAAGAUUCACAGGUAACCUAUCAAGGGCACGAAGUAGAGAAAAAAGAAAAUCUUCAACAGAUUUAUCGUUUUCUUUUGGACUCCCAUUCCCAUCGCCGAUUUUACCCUUGUGGAUUUCUUGAAGCCAUUCAUCCAAAACUGACAAACCCCUUAAUUGAACAAACCGAGUUAAAUAAUCAAAUCUUUCAGUAACUGAUAUGACAUCAACAAGCAUUGUUCGGGAAGAUAAGUCGAGUUUUUUGUCGGUGUUUUCGGGUCUCAUGAGUUGGAUUAGUUUUUCAACUCCUUGGAAAUCCAUCAAUCCUCCUUUAUCAGUGAUUUUGGAAAUUUCGGUUUUUAUUAUGUGUUCAGGUCUAAGUUGACCAGAAUNAAGAAUCUUCAGGUAAAGGAGGGGAACAUGCCACGUCAGAUCUUGAGAUUUCACCAGCUGCCACGCUGGCAAGAAGAUUCAUUCCACCAUCAUCACCCAUUGAAGGUGACACUGAGACACUAGCUUCAGAAAACUUAGCACAGCUUUCUACUAACGCGUUUAUAGAGCUAUAAGAAGGUUCAUAUAAUUUCCCUGGUUUUGGAGUGACCCCAGAUGAAGAACCACCAUGUUCAUCAGGUAACACAACAGUCACAGUUGCUGACUUGGCAUCAUCACAGCCCUCCAUUCCAUCUUUCCCAUCUGUAUCCAUUUUUUCCACAUUGCUCUGUAAAGAAUCGUUUACAGUUUUUCCACUUGUCUUUUGAUCUUGCUUCUCAGAAGGUGCCACAACACUUUGGUUGUUUCCAUUAUCUACAAUGGACACAUCAGACACAUGUCCAGCUCCUUUCUCAUUACCAAAAUUCCGGAUUUUUCCAAGAUUACCCUUUUCAUUUCCUGGAGUUGUGGAGCCAUGGAAACCAUUGCUUGAGUUCCUGCUAUUGUAAACACUACCAGUCUUCCCAUGAUCACUAGAGCAAGAUUGACUGUUGUUUGGAGAAUGAGUGGUGCUUGAACUCCUACCUUCUUUAGUUCCAGAUGAAGGCAUGUCCGAGGAUCCACCACCACCUCCACCACCGCCACCGCCAGUUGCCGCCAGUUUAUCGGCGGGAGAUUUGGCGGCAGGUUCACCGGAAUUAUUAUUAUUAUUAUUAACUUUCGGUUGUUGUGGAGAUUUUAAAGGGGAAGGUUGAGAGGUGGAAGUAGAACGUCUGUUUCCUAAAUGAGAAACAUCAGACAUCAUUGAUUUACUUGGCCAUGAGCCACCUCGACUUGUACUAGAUUUUGUUUCAAUCAUUGUCAUUUCAGCUUCCACACGUCUCUUCCAUGUGCUGAC